Molecule: ribosomal RNA, 2172 nt
Filed under: Shigella boydii
Lineage: Bacteria; Pseudomonadati; Pseudomonadota; Gammaproteobacteria; Enterobacterales; Enterobacteriaceae
Description: bacterial LSU rRNA
Rfam family: Bacterial large subunit ribosomal RNA
Source: RNAcentral
CGAACCGACUAAUGUUGAAAAAUUAGCGGAUGACUUGUGGCUGGGGGUGAAAGGCCAAUCAAACCGGGAGAUAGCUGGUUCUCCCCGAAAGCUAUUUAGGUAGCGCCUCGUGAAUUCAUCUCCGGGGGUAGAGCACUGUUUCGGCAAGGGGGUCAUCCCGACUUACCAACCCGAUGCAAACUGCGAAUACCGGAGAAUGUUAUCACGGGAGACACACGGCGGGUGCUAACGUCCGUCGUGAAGAGGGAAACAACCCAGACCGCCAGCUAAGGUCCCAAAGUCAUGGUUAAGUGGGAAACGAUGUGGGAAGGCCCAGACAGCCAGGAUGUUGGCUUAGAAGCAGCCAUCAUUUAAAGAAAGCGUAAUAGCUCACUGGUCGAGUCGGCCUGCGCGGAAGAUGUAACGGGGCUAAACCAUGCACCGAAGCUGCGGCAGCGACACUAUGUGUUGUUGGGUAGGGGAGCGUUCUGUAAGCCUGUGAAGGUGUACUGUGAGGUAUGCUGGAGGUAUCAGAAGUGCGAAUGCUGACAUAAGUAACGAUAAAGCGGGUGAAAAGCCCGCUCGCCGGAAGACCAAGGGUUCCUGUCCAACGUUAAUCGGGGCAGGGUGAGUCGACCCCUAAGGCGAGGCCGAAAGGCGUAGUCGAUGGGAAACAGGUUAAUAUUCCUGUACUUGGUGUUACUGCGAAGGGGGGACGGAGAAGGCUAUGUUGGCCGGGCGACGGUUGUCCCGGUUUAAGCGUGUAGGCUGGUUUUCCAGGCAAAUCCGGAAAACUAAGGCUGAGGCGUGAUGACGAGGCACUACGGUGCUGAAGCAACAAAUGCCCUGCUUCCAGGAAAAGCCUCUAAGCAUCAGGUAACAUCAAAUCGUACCCCAAACCGACACAGGUGGUCAGGUAGAGAAUACCAAGGCGCUUGAGAGAACUCGGGUGAAGGAACUAGGCAAAAUGGUGCCGUAACUUCGGGAGAAGGCACGCUGAUAUGUAGGUGAAGUCCCUCGCGGAUGGAGCUGAAAUCAGUCGAAGAUACCAGCUGGCUGCAACUGUUUAUUAAAAACACAGCACUGUGCAAACACGAAAGUGGACGUAUACGGUGUGACGCCUGCCCGGUGCCGGAAGGUUAAUUGAUGGGGUCAGCGCAAGCGAAGCUCUUGAUCGAAGCCCCGGUAAACGGCGGCCGUAACUAUAACGGUCCUAAGGUAGCGAAAUUCCUUGUCGGGUAAGUUCCGACCUGCACGAAUGGCGUAAUGAUGGCCAGGCUGUCUCCACCCGAGACUCAGUGAAAUUGAACUCGCUGUGAAGAUGCAGUGUACCCGCGGCAAGACGGAAAGACCCCGUGAACCUUUACUAUAGCUUGACACUGAACAUUGAGCCUUGAUGUGUAGGAUAGGUGGGAGGCUUUGAAGUGUGGACGCCAGUCUGCAUGGAGCCGACCUUGAAAUACCACCCUUUAAUGUUUGAUGUUCUAACGUUGACCCGUAAUCCGGGUUGCGGACAGUGUCUGGUGGGUAGUUUGACUGGGGCGGUCUCCUCCUAAAGAGUAACGGAGGAGCACGAAGGUUGGCUAAUCCUGGUCGGACAUCAGGAGGUUAGUGCAAUGGCAUAAGCCAGCUUGACUGCGAGCGUGACGGCGCGAGCAGGUGCGAAAGCAGGUCAUAGUGAUCCGGUGGUUCUGAAUGGAAGGGCCAUCGCUCAACGGAUAAAAGGUACUCCGGGGAUAACAGGCUGAUACCGCCCAAGAGUUCAUAUCGACGGCGGUGUUUGGCACCUCGAUGUCGGCUCAUCACAUCCUGGGGCUGAAGUAGGUCCCAAGGGUAUGGCUGUUCGCCAUUUAAAGUGGUACGCGAGCUGGGUUUAGAACGUCGUGAGACAGUUCGGUCCCUAUCUGCCGUGGGCGCUGGAGAACUGAGGGGGGCUGCUCCUAGUACGAGAGGACCGGAGUGGACGCAUCACUGGUGUUCGGGUUGUCAUGCCAAUGGCACUGCCCGGUAGCUAAAUGCGGAAGAGAUAAGUGCUGAAAGCAUCUAAGCACGAAACUUGCCCCGAGAUGAGUUCUCCCUGACUCCUUGAGAGUCCUGAAGGAACGUUGAAGACGACGACGUUGAUAGGCCGGGUGUGUAAGCGCAGCGAUGCGUUGAGCUAACCGGUACUAAUGAACCGUGAGGCUUAACCUU